This 407-nucleotide long non-coding RNA is filed under the name Bos taurus (domestic cattle). RNAcentral's name for it is "long non-coding RNA NONBTAT001862". The record is from RNAcentral. Lineage: Eukaryota; Metazoa; Chordata; Mammalia; Artiodactyla; Bovidae.
AAAUGCCUAGAGACAUGAUCAUGUAAUGAUGUUUUAGUGAUAGCACAGAAGGCAUAUAAUGCCAAGCACAACCCAGAGAUCAUUUAUUGCAAGAACUCCUUAUUAAGAGUCUGAAAUGCAUUAUUUCACAUGCUUGUGGUGGGUGCUGACCAUGCGCCUGGCACAGUGCAGGGUGCCCGCUACCCCCAGCAAGGGGAGAGGGACACAUAACAUACCACCCCACAUAGGGAUUGCAGUGGGGACCCAGGGAGGGGCUGUCCAGCCUGGCUGAGAGGACCAGGGGCGAGAGUGAAAAAUAUAGAUGGAGCUUCCCUCUUUAGAGCGCGUUCCUUACCAGAAUUAGAAUAAAGCGAAUCUCAGAUGUUUUCUGUAAAUAAAUGGCAGUUUUGAGUGAGGGAGGGCUGGGG